GGGGACGUGGCGGAAUUGGUAUACGCACACGUUUGAGGGGCGUGGAUCGUAAGAUCGUGAGGGUUCAAGUCCCUCCGUCCCCACAA
RNAcentral lists this transfer RNA (86 nucleotides) under Candidatus Moranbacteria bacterium CG_4_9_14_3_um_filter_36_9. RNAcentral's name for it is "tRNA-Leu". It matches the Rfam family "tRNA". From Rfam's summary of the family: Transfer RNA (tRNA) molecules are approximately 80 nucleotides in length. Their secondary structure includes four short double-helical elements and three loops (D, anti-codon, and T loops). The record is from RNAcentral. RNAcentral also lists the same sequence under 1 other name. Lineage: Bacteria; Candidatus Moraniibacteriota.